This 20-nucleotide unclassified non-coding RNA is filed under the name Tequintavirus T5. Its description in RNAcentral is "Escherichia virus T5 partial miscellaneous RNA". Lineage: Duplodnaviria; Heunggongvirae; Uroviricota; Caudoviricetes; Demerecviridae. The record is from RNAcentral.
AUAAAUUGAUGAGAAGGAAA